UGGGUCGGCUGGACGGUCGCGUCGCGGGCGGUUCGCCGCACCGCGCCGAGGAACGUCCGGGCUCCACAGGGCAGGGCGGUGGGUAACACCCACCCGGAGUGAUCCGCGAGACAGUGCCACAGAGAACAGACCGCCGGGAUCCGUCCCGGUAAGGGUGAAACGGCGGUGUAAGAGACCACCGGGGGUCAUGGCGACAUGACCCGCCAGGUAAACCUCGCCCGGAGCAAGACCAGACAGAGGAUGUUGACGCGGCCCGCCGAGUCCUCGGGUAGGUCGCUGGAGCGGCACGGCAACGUGUCGCCGAGAGAGAUGGCCGUCGAUGGGGCGCGAGCCCCGGGACAGAACCCGGCGUACAGGCCGGCCCAUUCG
This 369-nucleotide RNase P RNA is filed under the name Microbacterium oryzae. RNAcentral describes it as "Microbacterium sp. MB10 Bacterial RNase P class A". It matches the Rfam family "Bacterial RNase P class A". Rfam says of the family: Ribonuclease P (RNase P) is a ubiquitous endoribonuclease, found in archaea, bacteria and eukarya as well as chloroplasts and mitochondria. Its best characterised activity is the generation of mature 5'-ends of tRNAs by cleaving the 5'-leader elements of precursor-tRNAs. Cellular RNase Ps are ribonucleoproteins. The record is from Rfam by way of RNAcentral. Lineage: Bacteria; Bacillati; Actinomycetota; Actinomycetes; Micrococcales; Microbacteriaceae.